CAAAAGGCCCUUUUCAGGGCCCCCAAACUGUCACAGAAAGAGCUGU
This is a non-coding RNA of Pongo abelii (Sumatran orangutan), 46 nucleotides long. Lineage: Eukaryota; Metazoa; Chordata; Mammalia; Primates; Hominidae. The record is from Rfam.